Molecule: ribosomal RNA, 253 nt
Filed under: uncultured bacterium
Lineage: Bacteria
Description: partial 16S ribosomal RNA
Rfam family: Bacterial small subunit ribosomal RNA
Source: RNAcentral
UACAGAGGGUGCGAGCGUUAAUCGGAAUUACUGGGCGUAAAGCGCGCGUAGGCGGCUUUGCAAGUCGGGUGUGAAAUCCCCAGGCUUAACCUGGGAACUGCAUUCGAGACUGCAUUGCUAGAGUAUGGGAGAGGGAAGUGGAAUUUCCGGUGUAGCGGUGAAAUGCGUAGAUAUCGGAAGGAACAUCAGUGGCGAAAGCGACUUCCUGGACCAAUACUGACGCUCAUGUGCGAAAGCGUGGGGAGCAAGCAGG